Molecule: ribosomal RNA, 446 nt
Filed under: uncultured bacterium
Lineage: Bacteria
Description: bacterial SSU rRNA
Rfam family: Bacterial small subunit ribosomal RNA
Source: RNAcentral
GGCUACAGAACGAACGCUGGCGGCAGGCUUAACACAUGCAAGUCGAACGCUCGUAGCAAUACGGGAGUGGCGGACGGGUGAGUAACGCGUGGGAACGUGCCCUGAGGUACGGAAUAACUGCGGGAAACUGCAGCUAAUACCGUAUGAGCCCCGUGAGGGGAAAGGAUUUAUCGCCUUAGGAGGCGGCCCGCGUCGGAUUAGCUAGUUGGUGGGGUAACGGCUUACCAAGGCUUCGAUCCGUAGCUGGUCUGAGAGGACGAUCAGCCACACUGGGACUGAGACACGGCCCAGACUCCUACGGGAGGCAGCAGUGGGGAAUCUUGCGCAAUGGGGGCAACCCUGACGCAGCCAUGCCGCGUGAAUGAUGAAGGCCUUAGGGUUGUAAAGUUCUUUUGCCCGUGACGAUGAUGACGGUAACGGGAGAAUAAGCUCCGGCUAACUUCGUG